RNAcentral lists this microRNA precursor (103 nucleotides) under Plutella xylostella (diamondback moth). RNAcentral describes it as "microRNA pxy-mir-8495 precursor". Lineage: Eukaryota; Metazoa; Arthropoda; Insecta; Lepidoptera; Plutellidae. The record is from miRBase by way of RNAcentral.
AAUGGAAGAAUGCUGUGGUGGAGCAGAGUCUUGACAUGUUCCAACGUGUUGUCGGUGCCGCUGGGGCAUGUCAAGACUCGGCUGCAUCACGGCGAUGGCCUCG